UAAAGGGCUGCAGUAUAUUGACUGUACAAAGGUAGCAUAAUCAUUAGUCUUUUAAUUGAAGACUUGUAUGAAAGAUUUGAUGAAAUAUAAACUGUCUCUAAUUUAUAAAUAGAAAUUAAUUUUUUAAUUAGAAAGUUAAAAUAUUAUUAAAAGACGAGAAGACCCUAUAGAGUUUUAUAAUUUAUUUAUUUAAUUAAUAUAUAUAUAUAUAUAUAUAUAUAUAUAUAUAUAUAUAUAAAUUUAAAUUUAAUAAGUAAUUAAAUUAUUAUAUUGGGGUGAUAAGAAAAUUUAAUAAACUUUUUUAUUUUUAAACAUAAAUAAAUGAAAAAAUGAUCCAUUAUUAAUGAUUAAAAGAAAAAAUUACCUUAGGGAUAACAGCGUAAUAUUUUUUUUUAGUACAAAUAAAAAAAAAAGUUUGCGACCUCGAUGUUGGAUUAAGAUAAAAUUUAAAUGCAAAAGUUUAAAAGUGUUGAU
RNAcentral lists this ribosomal RNA (474 nucleotides) under Euphydryas aurinia. RNAcentral describes it as "partial 16S ribosomal RNA". The record is from RNAcentral. Lineage: Eukaryota; Metazoa; Arthropoda; Insecta; Lepidoptera; Nymphalidae.